GGAUUCUGCUGUGUUCUGGGCAGGGGUGGGCAGCAAUGUGCACGUGCGAGGGAGGGGCUAAAGCCAAUAGUGAGGUGGUUCUUUUUCUUAACUGAAUGAUAAUUCUGUAAAAGUAAUUGGGGGGAGGGUGUUCAGGGAGUAUGUGUGUGUGUGUGUGCAGCGAGAGAGCAUGUGUGAUUUUGUUUUUUUGUUUUUUUGUUUUUUUACAGUGGCUGUCAAGUAUUUUCAUGAUAUGUUUAACACGUAGUGCUUUAAAAGCAGUGGUACCCAAUAAGCUGGGAAUCCAAGUUCCAGAGAUGGGACGUGCCCACCUCAGUGAGCAAAGGUCCCACUCUGGAGGCAGGGAUAAGAAAGGCCUGCGGACCCACACACCAAGCAGCAACACCUGGGCGUUCAUUUCAAAUGGGAUACAGUAUUUUUUUAUAACAGAACCAUCCUUUUUUAAAAAAAAAAAAGUUUUGACACCUGAAUGUGAUUUCUAACUAUUAUUAGACGUUAAUGUUUUAAAGCUAUAACAAAGUGGAAAUUUCUACUUUUCUUUUUUCAUUCAUUUGAACUGUUCUUUUAUCUAUUUGGUUGUUGUAUGUGGGCGGGGAAGCUCUGUUUUCUCCUCUUAGCAUUUGUUUCUAUAACCAGAAAUAAAAUUAUAUAUUAAAG
This 657-nucleotide long non-coding RNA is filed under the name Rattus norvegicus (Norway rat). RNAcentral describes it as "long non-coding RNA NONRATT007777". The record is from RNAcentral. Lineage: Eukaryota; Metazoa; Chordata; Mammalia; Rodentia; Muridae.